GUGGAUUAGAUACCCUGGUAGUCCACGCCCUAAACGAUGGGUACUAAGUGUCGGCGGGUUACCGCCGGUGCCGCACCUAACGGAGUAAGUACCCCGCCUGGGGAGUACGGCCGCAAGGUUGAAACUCAAAGGAAUUGACGGGGGCCCGCACAAGCGGUGGUGCAUGUGGUUUAAUUCGACGCAACGCGAAAAACCUUACCCAGGCUUGACAUGCUAGUGGUAAGAACCGGAAACGGGGAUGACCCUGAAAGGGGAGCUAGCACAGGUGCUGCAUGGUCGUCGCCAGCU
Molecule: ribosomal RNA, 288 nt
Filed under: uncultured bacterium
Lineage: Bacteria
Description: partial 16S ribosomal RNA
Rfam family: Bacterial small subunit ribosomal RNA
Source: RNAcentral